CUACGGGAUGCAGCAGGCGAGAAACCUUUACAAUGCACGAAAGUGUGAUAAGGCAAUUCCAAGUGCUCAUGUUAUGCAUGGGCUUUUGCUAAGGGUAAAUACCUUGGAGAAUAAGUGGUGGGCAAGACUGGUGCCAGCAGCCGCGGUAACACCAGCGCCACUAGUGGCAAUCGUUUGAUUUGGCCUAAAGCGUUCGUAGCCGGAAAAUUAACUCUUUUGUGAAAGUGGAUAGCUUAACUAUUCGACUUGCGAAGGAAACUGAUCUUCUUGAGACCGGGAGGGGGCAGAGGUAUUUUAGGGGAAGCGGUAAAAUGUUAUAAUCCUUAGAAGACCAACUGUGGCGAAGGCGUCUGCCUGGAACGGUUCUGACGGUGAGGGACGAAAGCCAGGGGAGCAAACCGGAUUAGAUACCCCAGUAGUC
Molecule: ribosomal RNA, 421 nt
Filed under: uncultured archaeon
Lineage: Archaea
Description: partial 16S ribosomal RNA
Rfam family: Archaeal small subunit ribosomal RNA
Source: RNAcentral